This 1435-nucleotide ribosomal RNA is filed under the name uncultured bacterium. Its description in RNAcentral is "bacterial SSU rRNA". It matches the Rfam family "Bacterial small subunit ribosomal RNA". The record is from RNAcentral.
AGAGUUUGAUCCUGGCUCAGAACGUACGCUGGCGGCACGCCUAACACAUGCAAGUCGAACGCAGUAGCAAUACUGAGUGGCGAACGGGUGAGUAUAAUGUAGGUAUCUGCCUUUUGGUUUGGAAUAACACGGGGAAACCUGUGCUAAUACCGGAUAAGCCUUCACAGGGAAAGUUUUAACGCCAAAAGAUGAGCCUGCACUUGAUUAGCUAGUUGGUAAGGUAAUGGCUUACCAAGGCUACGAUCAAUAGCUGUUCUUAGAGGAAGAUCAGCCACAUUGGGACUGAGACACGGCCCAAACUCCUACGGGAGGCAGCAGUGGGGAAUAUUGCACAAUGGGGGAAACCCUGAUGCAGCGAUGCCGCGUGAGUGAAGAAGGCCUUUGGGUUGUAAAGCUCUUUCGUCGGGGAAGAAAAUGACUGUACCCGAAUAAGAAGGUCCGGCUAACUUCGUGCCAGCAGCCGCGGUAAUACGAAGGGACCUAGCGUAGUUCGGAAUUACUGGGCUUAAAGAGCUCGUAGGUGGUUAGAAAAGUUGGUGGUGAAAUCCCAAGGCUUAACCUUGGAACUGCCAUCAAAACUUUUUAACUAGAGUAUGAUAGAGGAAAGUGGAAUUUCUAGUGUAGAGGUGAAAUUCGUAGAUAUUAGAAAGAAUACCAAUUGCGAAGGCAGCUUUCUGGAUCAUUACUGACACUGAGGAACGAAAGCAUGGGUAGCGAAGAGGAUUAGAUACCCUCGUAGUCCAUGCCGUAAACGAUGUGUGUUAGACGUUGGAAAUUUAUUUUCAGUGUCGCAGCGAAAGCGAUAAACACACCGCCUGGGGAGUACGACCGCAAGGUUAAAACUCAAAUGAAUUGACGGGGACCCGCACAAGUAGUGGAGCAUGUGGUUUAAUUCGAAGAUACGCGCAGAACCUUACCAACACUUGACAUGUUCGUCGCGACUCUAAGAGAUUAGAGUUUUCGGUUCGGCCGGACGAAACACAGGUGCUGCAUGGCUGUCGUCAGCUCGUGUCGUGAGAUGUUGGGUUAAGUCCCGCAACGAGCGCAACCCUCACUUUUAGUUGCCAUCAUUAAGUUGGGCACUCUGAAAGAACUGCCAGUGAUAAGCUGGAGGAAGGUGGGGAUGACGUCAAGUCCUCAUGGCCCUUACGUGUUGGGCUACACACGUGCUACAAUGGCAUCUACAACAGGAAGCAAAACGGCAACGUUAAGCAAAUCCCGAAAAGAUGCCUCAGUUCGGAUUGCACUCUGCAACUCGAGUGCAUGAAGCUGGAAUUACUAGUAAUCGCGGAUCAGCGCGCCGCGGUGAAUACGUUCCCGGGUCUUGUACACACCGCCCGUCACACCAUGGGAGUUGGUUCUACCUUAAGGCAAAGUUUAAAACCUUUGACCACGGUAUAGUCAGCGACUGGGGUGAAGUCGUAACAAGGUAACC